Molecule: ribosomal RNA, 465 nt
Filed under: uncultured bacterium
Lineage: Bacteria
Description: partial 16S ribosomal RNA
Rfam family: Bacterial small subunit ribosomal RNA
Source: RNAcentral
GACGAACGCUGGCGGCGUGCUUAACACAUGCAAGUCGAACGGAAAGGCCCCUUUGGGGGUACUCGAGUGGCGAACGGGUGAGUAACACGUGAGUAACCUGCCCUUGACUUCGGGAUAACUUCAGGAAACUGGGGCUAAUACCGGAUAGGAAUCCUUGCUGCAUGGUGGGGGUUGGAAAGCUUCGGCGGUUUUGGAUGGACUCGCGGCUUAUCAGCUUGUUGGUGGGGUAGUGGCUUACCAAGGCUUUGACGGGUAGCCGGCCUGAGAGGGCGACCGGCCACAUUGGGACUGAGAUACGGCCCAGACUCCUACGGGAGGCAGCAGUGGGGAAUAUUGCACAAUGGGCGGAAGCCUGAUGCAGCAACGCCGCGGGCGGGAGGACGGCCUUCGGGUUGUAAACCGCUUUCAGCAGGGGCGAAGCUUGUGGUGACGGUACCUGCAGAAGAAGCACCGGCUAACUACGUG